GUUCGUUUCUGACCCUGGCGUCUGUGACAGACCUUUCCAGUGGGACGAGAACACAUCCACCUCCAGUUCGCCUCUCCGUUACGAUACCAAUUCAACGGCCUCCUGUGAAACCAAAUGCAAAGUUGUAUCUGUUCAGUGUGUGCAACCUGAAGCCUCGCUCUCUGUACUGGCUGACGUAGUACUGCAGGUCGGCCUCCGUCAGCAUGGCGCUCCGGGGAACCUGCUCCGGCAGACCCACAAACAGACCACCUGGAACACAACCCGGACGUUGUUCACUAAGAACAAGAUCCAAUCGUUCUGGUCGUCACCUGAACUCCAGUAAAGUUGACCAGUUUGUCCAAAGCAUCGUCCAGAUUUCCCACCAAGACGGCCUUCAUCCCCGCUGCUUCUGCUGCCUUCACACCUUCCUCAUCUGCAUCCAGCCACAGAGCCUGAAAUGAGACACACACUGAGCACAGCUGCACUGCCUCACAAUCUUUCCAGGACACACAGUUAUACGUCUGAGUGAGUCCUCUACCUGUUGUGAUGUCACUCCCAGGUGCUGCAGAGCACAGCUGAACACAGACGGCUCGGGGACCCUGUGACCUGAGCGACAGGACUGGAGGACCAGGUCAAAAUGUCCGCCCAGCAGAGAGAGGAUGCGGGCUGGACCGUCUCCAGCAGCACUGUCGUCUACCCAGUGAUUGGCCAGCACCGCUGUCAGUAACCCUGAUGGGACGGAGACGCAGAGACUCAGAUAUUUUUCAUCUUGAGACUGAGGAAGAAUCGAUGUGAACAACGAGAGAGAGAAGAAGAUCCCAUUGGAGGGCCACUAUUUUACCCUACGGCUGUUUGUGUGUGUUGUGUCCAGGUGUACUGAUGCAGAUGUACCACUGCGACGCAGACUGGCAGCUGUCUUCAGCACGGCUGGUUGGACGUCCAUCAUCGCCUCCCUGAGCUCCUCCAGCAGGCCUCUCACUGACCAAUCAGACGGCAGAGUCACAGCCCUGACCUCGGCCUCCUUCACACACUCUGCCUCCAACGCUGGGAUCAUCUACACACACACACACACACACACACACACACACACACACAGGGCAACAGAGUUUCAAGAAUGAAAGAGGCAGUAUUUCUACGGAGGCCAUAAGAGCAGUUGGUAGCUCACUGUGUGGAAGAAUAUGUGAUCAAAUAGUGCCUCACAAUCACAGUCACAAUCAGUAACAGAAGACAGAACUGAAGUAAACAGUGAAUUAAUAGUAGAGGAUUUUGACUACGGCUGCACAGUUAAUUGAGAUAUUAUCGAAAUCGCAAUAUGGUCAAGUGCAAUAUGCAAAUCGGAGAAGCUGCAAAUGUUUUUGAUAAAAGGUAAAAUGUGACAAACAGAGUUAUAAUGAAGUCCUGUAGUUCUGCAGAGCCCAAAAAAUGUCCCAUCGUCAUGAUUUUAAUUUGUUUUCUUUCAGUAAAAACUAAAUCUGUGAUGCAAAAAUGAUCCUUAUGGAACUAAUCGUGAAUCAUAUCUCAAUAUCUGUAAUAAUAAUCACUACAUGAUAUUUAGUCCUGAAACUCACCUGAGAAAGCUUCAUCUCCCCUCUCUCCGCCCGGCUCAUGGCACCGUCCUUUUGGGACGCCACACUGGACAGAAAACCACUGAAGACCACAGAGACACAAACAACAAAGGGACAAUAUGAACAUAUCAGCGUUAGUGAAGACUGAACUGUGAGACAAUCUGUAAAAUCUCUUUUUUAACUGAUGAAUCUUUUGCAGUUUUAUUCUGUAUAAAUCAGACUGUGCUGCUGAAAUCCAGCUUGUAUCUUAUUUCAGCUUCCUCUGUCCGUUUACUUUUGUCCAUGUGUCACUACCUGCAGUUUGAACUUGUUUACAAUUGCACAAUGUGUUAAAGAGUAACAGCAGUUUAAAGUGAAAGCCUACUUAGGUUUAGUGGUUUUCCCUCCAUUGGAUCACUGAAAUAAACUUUAAUUUGUUGUAUUUUUAGUAAAGAUUUAUAAAACCUUUGCCACA
Molecule: long non-coding RNA, 1998 nt
Organism: Dicentrarchus labrax (European seabass)
Lineage: Eukaryota; Metazoa; Chordata; Actinopteri; Moronidae
Exons: 4
Source: RefSeq, a predicted model, not a curated record